This 460-nucleotide ribosomal RNA is filed under the name uncultured bacterium. RNAcentral's name for it is "partial 16S ribosomal RNA". It matches the Rfam family "Bacterial small subunit ribosomal RNA", at positions 338 to 795 of the family's 1533-position model. The record is from RNAcentral.
CCUACGGGUGGCAGCAGUGAGGAAUAUUGGUCAAUGGACGAGAGUCUGAACCAGCCAAGUAGCGUGAAGGAUGACUGCCCUAUGGGUUGUAAACUUCUUUUAUAAGGGAAUAAAACGAGGCACGUGUGCCUUUUUGCAUGUACUUUAUGCAUAAGGAUCGGCUAACUCCGUGCCAGCAGCCGCGGUAAUACGGAGGAUCCGAGCGUUAUCCGGAUUUAUUGGGUUUAAAGGGAGCGUAGAUGGGUUUUUAAGUCAGUUGUGAAAGUUUGCGGCUCAACCGUAAAAUUGCAAUUGAUACUGGCAGUCUUGAGUACAGUUGAGGUAGGCGGAAUGCGUGGUGUAGCGGUGAAAUGCUUAGAUAUCACGAAGAACCCCGAUUGCGAAGGCAGCUUACUAAACUGUGACUGACAUUGAUGCGCGAAAGUGUGGGGAUCAAACAGGAUUAGAUACCCCGGUAGUC